This 23-nucleotide non-coding RNA is filed under the name Cricetulus griseus (Chinese hamster). Lineage: Eukaryota; Metazoa; Chordata; Mammalia; Rodentia; Cricetidae. The record is from RNAcentral.
UAUCUCUGUAGGCCUUUUUUCAG